This 26-nucleotide non-coding RNA is filed under the name Rattus norvegicus (Norway rat). The record is from RNAcentral. Lineage: Eukaryota; Metazoa; Chordata; Mammalia; Rodentia; Muridae.
UGUGGCUCUGUUUCAGCAAAGGUGUC